RNAcentral lists this small RNA (77 nucleotides) under unclassified sequences. RNAcentral's name for it is "dfrA-dnaX RNA". It matches the Rfam family "dfrA-dnaX RNA". The record is from Rfam by way of RNAcentral.
GCGCCCUAUGGCAAGGCUACUUAUAUUUCAUCAUAACUACCAUAGAAAAAGUUAUCGUAAAGGAGUUAUGAUAUAAU